RNAcentral lists this ribosomal RNA (254 nucleotides) under uncultured bacterium. RNAcentral's name for it is "partial 16S ribosomal RNA". It matches the Rfam family "Bacterial small subunit ribosomal RNA", at positions 524 to 776 of the family's 1533-position model. The record is from RNAcentral.
UACGUAGGGAGCGAGCGUUGUCCGGAUUCAUUGGGCGUAAAGAGCUCGUAGGCGGCUUGAUAAGUCGGAUGUGAAACCUCCAGGCUCAACCUGGAGUCGCCAUCCGAUACUGUCAUGGCUAGAGUCCGGUAGGGGCCCACGGAAUUCCUGGUGUAGCGGUGAAAUGCGCAGAUAUCAGGAGGAACACCGGUGGCGAAGGCGGUGGGCUGGGCCGGCACUGACGCUGAGGAGCGAAAGCUAGGGGAGCAAACAGG